This is a transfer RNA of Neurospora tetrasperma FGSC 2509, 88 nucleotides long. It matches the Rfam family "tRNA". From Rfam's summary of the family: Transfer RNA (tRNA) molecules are approximately 80 nucleotides in length. The record is from Rfam. NCBI's taxonomy places the organism in Eukaryota, Fungi, Ascomycota, Sordariomycetes, Sordariales, Sordariaceae.
GCCCGGCUAGCUCAAUCGGUAGAGCGUGAGACUCUUAAGGAGGUACUCCGUAAUCUCAAGGUUGUGGGUUCGACCCCCACGUCGGGCU